GCAUAUCAAUAAGCGGAGGAAAAGAAAAUAACAAUGAUUCCCUCAGUAACGGCGAGCGAAGAGGGAUAAGCUCAAAUUUUAAAUCUGUUGGGUUCCGCUUAACAGAGUUGUAUUUUGAAGAAACGUUUUCUGCGUCCAGGAUUAGCCUAAAUCCUUUGGGAUAAGGUAUCAUGGAGGGUGAGAAUCCCGUUCAUGGUUAAUCUUAAGGAAGCUCUACGAUACGUUUUCCAAGAGUCGAGUUGUUUGGGAUUGCAGCUCAAAAUGGGAGGUAAAUUUCUCCUAAGGCUAAAUAUUGGCGAGAGACCGAUAGCGAACAAGUACCGUGAGGGAAAGAUGAAAAGAACUUUGAAAAGAGAGUUAAACAGUACGUGAAAUUGUUGAAAGGGAAACGAUUGAAGUCAGUCAUACCAACGGGAAAUCAACCUUUUGAGCUCGUUCUCGUGGGUUUUGAAGAGUUUCAAAGCCUUCGGAUUCGCGAGAUUGGGAUCUCUUGGUGUACUUUUUCGUACGGUUAGUCAACAUCGGUUUUGAAUGUCAUAAAAUGACUGGAGGAAUGUAGCUUCUUGAAGUGUUAUAGCCUUUGGUAGAUGUGAUGUUUGAGACCGAGGAUUGCAACGGAUACCCUUCAGGGCUAUUCGUCUGAUCUCUGAUACGUUGCCUUGAUGUUGAAAGCUUGCUUAUGAUGUUAGGGUAUUACGGUCAAAAGGUUAGAACGAAUUACAUUCGUUAAGGAUGUUGACGUAAUGGCUUUAAACGAC
Molecule: ribosomal RNA, 758 nt
Filed under: uncultured Glomus
Lineage: Eukaryota; Fungi; Glomeromycota; Glomeromycetes; Glomerales; Glomeraceae
Description: eukaryotic LSU rRNA
Rfam family: Eukaryotic large subunit ribosomal RNA
Source: RNAcentral